This 98-nucleotide ribosomal RNA is filed under the name Acanthosepion pharaonis. The record is from RNAcentral. Lineage: Eukaryota; Metazoa; Mollusca; Cephalopoda; Sepiida; Sepiidae.
UUACGGCCAUAUCACGCUGAAACACCAGUUCUCGUUCGAUCACCAAAGUUAAGCAACAUUGAACCAAGUCAGUACCUAGAUGGGUGACACUUUGGAAA